Molecule: ribosomal RNA, 253 nt
Filed under: uncultured bacterium
Lineage: Bacteria
Description: partial 16S ribosomal RNA
Rfam family: Bacterial small subunit ribosomal RNA
Source: RNAcentral
UACGGGGGGGGCACGCGUUGUUCGGAAUUACUGGGCGUAAAGGGCUCGUAGGCGGCCAACUAAGUCAGACGUGAAAUCCCUCGGCUUAACCGGGGAACUGCAUCUGAUACUGGAUGGCUUGAGUUCGGGAGAGGGAUGCGGAAUUCCAGGUGUAGCGGUGAAAUGCGUAGAUAUCUGGAGGAACACCGGUGGCGAAGGCGGCUCUCUGGACCACAACUGACGCUGAGGCGCGAAAGCUAGGGGAGCAAACAGG